ACGACUCUCGACAACGGAUAUCUCGGCUCUCGCAUCGAUGAAGAACGUAGCGAAGUGCGAUACUUGGUGUGAAUUGCAGAAUCCCGUGAACCAUCGAGUCUUUGAACGCAAGUUGCGCCCGAAGCCAAUAGGCCGAGGGCACGUCGUCCUGGGUGUCACA
This 160-nucleotide ribosomal RNA is filed under the name Anethum foeniculum (fennel). RNAcentral's name for it is "5.8S ribosomal RNA". It matches the Rfam family "5.8S ribosomal RNA". Rfam says of the family: 5.8S ribosomal RNA (5.8S rRNA) is a component of the large subunit of the eukaryotic ribosome. It is transcribed by RNA polymerase I as part of the 45S precursor that also contains 18S and 28S rRNA. Lineage: Eukaryota; Viridiplantae; Streptophyta; Magnoliopsida; Apiales; Apiaceae. The record is from RNAcentral.